Molecule: ribosomal RNA, 774 nt
Filed under: uncultured Neocallimastigales
Lineage: Eukaryota; Fungi; Neocallimastigomycota; Neocallimastigomycetes; Neocallimastigales
Description: partial large subunit ribosomal RNA
Rfam family: Eukaryotic large subunit ribosomal RNA
Source: RNAcentral
UAUGUGAUCGUCUCUCGCAUAUCAAUAAGCGGAGGAAAAGAAACUAACAAGGAUUCCCCUAGUAACGGCGAGUGAAGCGGGAAGAGCUCAAAUUUGAAUCUUAAAGGGUUUCCCUUUACGAAUUGUAGUUUAAAGAAGUGUUUUCUGUUGAGGUUUUGGUAAAAGUUCUUUGGAAUAGGACAUCAUAGAGGGUGAGAAUCCCGUAUUUGACCUUUACUUUCAACUUUGUGAUACACUUUCAAAGAGUCGGAUUGUUUGGGAAUGCAGUCCAAAAUGGGUGGUAAAUUCCAUCUAAAGCUAAAUAUUGGCGAGAGACCGAUAGCGAACAAGUACCGUGAGGGAAAGAUGAAAAGAACUUUGAAAAGAGAGUUAAACAGUACGUGAAAUUGUCAAAAGGGAAGCGUUUGACACCAGUGUUGUUUUUCUGAAAAUCAAUUAAAGAACUGUUUAUGCUAAGUUGUUUAGACUUUAUCAGCUAACUGUUUAGUUUUGAGCUUUUCUUUAAUGCACUUUUCAGUUAACAAGUCAACAGUCAAUUUCUUUUGCUGUAAAAAAGCUUGAGGAAGGUGGCUUGAGAUUCGUCUUAAGUGUUUAUAGCCUCUUGCCUAUGCAGUCGGAGAGAUUGAGGUCUGCAGCGUAGAUCCUUCGGGGCUAAAUGCAUUUGUGCUAAGUUAUAGCAUUUUAUAGACAACUUGUUGACUAUGAUUUGUCUUGUAGCUUACUCGCUUAUGUUAUUUUACCUACGCUUAGGAUGUUGACUGAUAUGUAGUCGUA